Molecule: unclassified non-coding RNA, 758 nt
Filed under: Leishmania donovani
Lineage: Eukaryota; Euglenozoa; Kinetoplastea; Trypanosomatida; Trypanosomatidae
Description: gene:LdHU3.30.0980(CDS-product:heat_shock_protein _grpe)
Source: RNAcentral
AAAAAACCCCUAAAGACCUGCACGAGAGAAUGUACAGACGAGUCGGCGCAAACGUGGCGCCUCUCCUCUGCUCACAUUGCGUAGCACAAAGGAAAUGCUGUACAGAAGAAAACACCGCUGGCUUGUCUGUUGCGGAGCUCAAGGGCAAGUACGAAGUCUUGAGAGCAGAACUUUGCGACAGCAAAAGGCAGAUUCAGAAACUUCGAUCGGAGAACCUGUACGCUGCUGCUUCAUGUGAAAACAUUCGAAAGACUACGCAGGAGCAAUCAAAGCAGGCGCAUAAUGACGCAGUCAGAUCUUUUGCACGCGAUAUGCUGGAUGUUUGCGAUGCCCUGCAAGUGGUCACAAAAAAAGCAGUGAAGUACACGCAGAGAAAUUCUUCCAUACCUAAAAGCGAGGCUGCGGUCCUCGCUGGUGUGAUGCUGACAGAGGAAGUUGCGCUGAAGGUUCUGAAGCGGUAUGGAGUGACGCAAAUGCACACCGAGGUCGGCGCCACCUUUGACGAGGAAAAGGAAGAGAAGCUCUUUACAGUUCCAUCUACACCUUCUCUUAAAGAAGGCAGUGUUGCCGAGAUUGUCAAAAACGGAUACGACAUGAACGGGUCGGUUUUGCGACGUGCUCAAGUUGGGCUGAGUGAGGACCCCUAAGGGUGCAUUACGCGCGGCAGUGCAAGAGGACAUCUUUUCCUUGCCUGAUCCACUUUGCUACUGGGGCCCAUAUUACCAUCACACUCCAUUAUCUAAAAAAGCCAAGAAAGC